UACGAAGGGGGCGAGCGUUGUUCGGAAUUACUGGGCGUAAAGGGCGCGCAGGCGGCCUUAGAAGUCAGAUGUGAAAGCCCCGGGCUCAACCUGGGAAUGGCAUUUGAUACUCUGAGGCUGGAGUACGGGAGAGGAGAGUGGAAUUCCCAGUGUAGAGGUGAAAUUCGUAGAUAUUGGGAAGAACACCGGUGGCGAAGGCGGCUCUCUGGACCGUAACUGACGCUGAUGCACGAAAGCUGGGGGAGCAAACAGG
This 253-nucleotide ribosomal RNA is filed under the name uncultured bacterium. Its description in RNAcentral is "partial 16S ribosomal RNA". It matches the Rfam family "Bacterial small subunit ribosomal RNA", at positions 524 to 776 of the family's 1533-position model. The record is from RNAcentral.